GGCGACAGGCAGAAGCCGAGGGCGAGGAGCCUCACCGCGGCGCCAGCCGGGAAAAGGGGAGGGGCAGCAACGGCAGCGCGAGGCGGGGAGGCGGGGCGGUGACGUCAGCGCGGCCGCCGGGGAGUGGUGUGGCUAAGUGGCCGUUGGAGGGGGUUCCCCGAGCUGCUGCCGGGCGGCCGGGGCCGGGACUCCCGUGUCCUUCCCCUUUGGGCCCCAAGGCCCCGGGUGUCCUGGAGCCGCGGGUCUUUGUGCGGUAUCGCAACCCCCUUGAGAGACUCGGGCGCCUCCUGCAGGCGCCCCGGCCGCAGGCUGAGCGGCAGCAGGCAAUUUUUUAGAGCAGUUGUAGGUUCACAGCAAAAUGAAAAGGAAAGUACAAAGACUUCUGUAUACCCACUGGCCCCACACGUGCACAGCCUCAUCUGUUAUCAACAUUCCUCACCAGCCUGGUACAUUUGUUACAAUGGCUGAACCUACAUGGACACAUAAUCACGACCCAAAUCCCACUGCCUCAUGAAGUCUUCUACUUCCACUCACCAUCAUCUCUUUUCCUUUUGUGAAAUUCUUUCCACCGAGGGUCAGCACUACUUUGUAGCUGAGCAUUUCAUUGUUUUCUUGUUAAUUCUUUCUUUUUUCAUUUUUUUUCUUUGGCCUGCCACACGGCUUGCAGGAUUCUAGUUCCCAAGUGAAA
Long non-coding RNA from Hippopotamus amphibius kiboko, 688 nucleotides. RefSeq lists it as uncharacterized. The transcript has 3 exons. Lineage: Eukaryota; Metazoa; Chordata; Mammalia; Artiodactyla; Hippopotamidae. The record is from RefSeq and is a predicted model, not a curated record.